GAUGAAGAACGUAGCGAAAUGCGAUAAGUAAUGUGAAUUGCAGAAUUCAGUGAAUCAUCGAAUCUUUGAACGCACCUUGCACCCUUUGGCAUUCCGAAGGGUAUGCUCGUUUGAGUGUCAUUGUACUCUCACACUUCCAAUCUUUGGAUUGGGAGCAGUGGACUUGGGUGUUGCUGCUUACUGUGGCUCACCUCAAAUCGAUUCGUGCACCUCUUGGUUGGACAUAGUACGGCGUGAUAAGUGUCUUCGCCGGCACCUCAGUAGAGGGUGGCUGAUCAGGGGCUCUGUGCUUCAAACCGUCCUCGGACAACAACUGACAACUUGACCUCAAAUCGAGUAGGACUACCCGCUGAACUUAAGCAUAUCAAUAAGCGGAGGA
RNAcentral lists this unclassified non-coding RNA (379 nucleotides) under soil metagenome. Its description in RNAcentral is "partial contains 5.8S ribosomal RNA, internal transcribed spacer 2, and large subunit ribosomal RNA". The stretch from base 1 to 120 matches the Rfam family "5.8S ribosomal RNA", at positions 35 to 154 of the family's 154-position model. The record is from RNAcentral.